GUGUGGUUAAAAUAGCCCCAGUCUGGAGUUUAUGCAUUUCAAAAGAGCAUAAAUUAAUUCCAGGGCUGAAAAAAAAAUACAGCCUUUGUCUGGAGGACAUUGUGCCUAUGACAUUAGCAGCACAAAACAUCUAAUGAUCUUGCUGGAACCCACUUGGGCUUGACUGGUUAGAGAGAUGAAUGAUGUCAUUGUGUUGGGAAUCUGAAUCGUGCUCUGAAAACAUGAUGCAGGAGACCUCCUAGACCCCUCCUACACAAAAAGCAGGAGGGAUUGGACCAGAGAAAUGCAGAAACAAAGGCAUUAGUUCAUUUCUUGCAAAGUUCUUCCUGCAUAGAUUUGAGUCACGUGCGUUGGAGAGAGUUGCAGUUCCAUCCAGAGCAUUACAGUGUUAACUUUACAGACUAGGAAUGUGAGCGGGAGAGACUCUGGGGAGCAUGCUCCAACGCGAGGAUGCGUUUGCCCAGCAGAGCGCUGACAACAGUGUGUGGCAUGAGUGUGAAGCAAAACAGCCAAACCACAUCACUCAUUUGACAGGUUCUGUUUAUUUAUAUUCAGUACCAGCUGAUGCCUCAAACCCAGACAGUGUUGUAGUGUCAGUGUUAAAUAUCAGUGCUACACUGGGGUCACAGGCUGUCCUGCCCUGCAAGAGUUACCGCAUGGUGUGGACCCAGGAUCGUCUGAAUGACCGCCAGCGUGUAGUCCACUGGGAUGUGUACAGCAACUACUAUGGAGAUAACAAGAUGGAGAGGCUAUGUGACAUGUACUCAGCUGGAGAUCAGCGUGUAUACAGUUCCUACAACCAAGGGAGGAUAUCCAUGCCCCAGAACGCAUUUACAGAUGGCAACUUCUCCUUGGUGAUCAAAGAUGUUGCAGAGAGUGAUGAAGGCACGUAUUCUUGUAAUCUUCACCAUCACUACUGCCACUUAUACGAAACUGUGAAAAUCCAACUAGCUAUCACCAAGAAAGCUGAGGAUGCAAGCCAGUACUGGGAUGGGGAAAAGCCUGUGAUUGUUGCCCUAGAAGGCAGCACAGUGAUGCUUCCCUGUGUGAACCGUAACCACAUCUGGACCGAACGGCACAGUGAAGAAGAACAGCAAGUGGUCCACUGGGACAGGCAGCCCCCAGGGGUUCCUCACGACCGGGCUGACCGCCUUAUUGAUCUGUAUGCCUCUGGCGAGCGCCGUUCUUACGGACCUCUCUUCAUUCGUCAGAAGAUGAACAUCACUGACACAGCCUUUGCCUUGGGUGACUUUUCCCUGCGGAUUUCAGAGCUGGAAAGCGCAGAUGAAGGCACUUACUCCUGCCACCUGCACCAUCAUUACUGUGGCCUGCAUGAGCGCAGGAUCUACCAAGUCUUUGUGACAGAGCCAGUGAGAGAGAAGAAGGUGGUGAACCUCACAACUCACAACAUUGCCCCAGCCAUAGAUCCAAAUGUUGUCAGGGGCCACAAUGUGAUAAAUGUCAUCAUCCCUGAAAGCCGGGUGCACUUCUUCCAGCAGCUGGGCUACAUCCUGGCAACUCUGCUGCUGUUCAUUGUCCUCCUCAUCAUUGUUGUCCUCGUCACCCGCAAGCGCCGGCAGAGAGGUUAUGAAUACAACGUGAAGAAAUAUGGAGAGAAGGAUGUAAAUCUUAAAGAAUUUACAGUUGACACAACAGAUCUGACUCAAUACAGAAGUGAAGACAUCAGACUGGGACUGACUCGGGGAAUUUACAGCAUUCUUGAAGAUGGAUGCUGCUCCUUACUACAGCUUGAAGGUGCAGCCUUGAGUUUAUUGUGUCAGUAAUUGAUCGGGGUGUCUUCUUGCUUGGACUUGGAGUGGAUUGUUUGUAAAGCAAAAUUGAUCCUCUUGUCUGCACUACCCUGAGAUGCCUGAAGACUUGCCAUGAUGCCAAGUUUGUACCUGCUGCAACUUGCUGUAUGUCAGUGAAUGUGCUGAUAAACCAGGAAACAAUUACAAAAACAACAUCCUGAAGGAGAAGGCUGAGCAAGCCAGAAGCUUCCCAGCAAAGAACAUUGAUUUAGACAAAGAUUUCAGGAAGGAAUAUUGUAAAUGAAGACAUUCCCAAGCUGCUGGCUGGACCAGAAGCUUCAAUCAAAGAUAAAUAAAUGGAAAAGAGAUGCCUUUUCUUAAUAUCAUGUCUCUCCAGUUACCAUAGAUUUUUUUUUCACGUAGACUUUCUCCCCACUAAGCACAACGGUAUUUGCAAAUGCUUCUUGAAAGAGUUAGACCAUCUGUCUUGUUUGCACUUAUGAUGGGUUUGGGUUGCCUUUUCUUCUUCUGUUCUCCCGGUCCUCCAUUCCCCUUUUCUUUCUUGAUAUUAUUGUUGGUUUUAUGCAUCAAUGAUUUUUAUGAGCUGAAUCAGCAGACCUUUUGCUUUGAUGUUACUGCUUUAAAUAAACCAACUUGCAUCACUAA
Grus americana (Whooping crane) is the source of this 2417-nucleotide RNA transcript. It is a transcript of the gene named matrix remodeling associated 8, with no coding region annotated. NCBI's taxonomy places the organism in Eukaryota, Metazoa, Chordata, Aves, Gruiformes, Gruidae. The transcript is spliced from 11 exons. The record is from RefSeq and is a predicted model, not a curated record.